AUCAUCUCCUUCUCGCCUCUUCAUUGUUUGGCUCGUGUACUUGCUCGGCCAAAAUCGGUUAUCCUGUGCUGCUUACCUAUCUUGAAGGCAUUACGUUGGCUAAAAUUGUUGGUUUUCCUUCGUGUACGGCCCCCCUAGCGGGGAAGCAGUGCGCGUUGGACCUCAAGGCGGUUGCUGUGUAUCCCACCAUUGUCAUCCUAAUGGGUGAUUUUGGUUGCCGAGCCACGGUGCAACGCUUGAUAUCUCGGGUUCGGAACAUCUAGUGGUAUUGGGGUCUUUGGCCUCCUUGACCACAAUUAAAAGCGUUCUACGCUUCGUGCGAACGACUGUCGACCCGAUCUUUUGCCGUGCCCUUGAAGUGCGGUUGGGAUCGUGUCUGC
Molecule: unclassified non-coding RNA, 380 nt
Filed under: Elsholtzia angustifolia
Lineage: Eukaryota; Viridiplantae; Streptophyta; Magnoliopsida; Lamiales; Lamiaceae
Description: partial external transcribed spacer
Source: RNAcentral